AUUGAACGCUGGCGGAAUGCUUUACACAUGCAAGUCGAGCGGCAGCGCGGGGCAACCUGGCGGCGAGCGGCGAACGGGUGAGUAAUGUAUCGGGACGUGUCCUGUCGUGGGGGAUAGCCCGGUGAAAACCGGAUUAAUACCGCAUACGAUCGAGAGAUGAAAGUGGGGGACCGCAAGGCCUCACGCGAUAGGAGCGGCCGAUAUCUGAUUAGCUAGUUGGUGGGGUAAAGGCCCACCAAGGCUUCGAUCAGUAGCUGGUCUGAGAGGAUGAUCAGCCACACUGGGACGGAGACACGGCUAGACUCCUACGGGAGUCAGCAGUGGGGAAUUGUGGACAAUGGGGGCAACCCUUAUCCAGCCAUUCCGCGUGAGUGAAGAAGGCCUUCGGGUUGUAAAGCUCUUUUGUCCGGGAAGAAACGGUUUUGGCUAAUAACCAAGACUACUGACGGUACCGGAAGAGUAAGGACCGGCUAACUACGUGCCAGCCGCCGCGGUAA
RNAcentral lists this ribosomal RNA (497 nucleotides) under uncultured bacterium. RNAcentral's name for it is "partial 16S ribosomal RNA". It matches the Rfam family "Bacterial small subunit ribosomal RNA", at positions 30 to 523 of the family's 1533-position model. The record is from RNAcentral.